CUCAAGUGAUGAUUAUUGGAGGUAGAGCACUGUUUGGACGAGGGGCCCCUCUCGGGUUACCGAAUUCAGACAAACUCCGAAUGCCAAUUAAUUUAACUUGGGAGUCAGAACAUGGGUGAUAAGGUCCGUGUUCGAAAGGGAAACAGCCCAGACCACCAGCUAAGGUCCCAAAAUAUAUGUUAAGUGGAAAAGGAUGUGGCGUUGCCCAGACAACUAGGAUGUUGGCUUAGAAGCAGCCAUCAUUUAAAGAGUGCGUAAUAGCUCACUAGUCGAGUGACACUGCGCCGAAAAUGUACCGGGGCUAAACAUAUUACCGAAGCUGUGGAUUGUCCUUUGGACAAUGGUAGGAGAGCGUUCUAAGGGCGUUGAAGCAUGAUCGUAAGGACAUGUGGAGCGCUUAGAAGUGAGAAUGCCGGUGUGAGUAGCGAAAGACGGGUGAGAAUCCCGUCCACCGAUUGACUAAGGUUUCCAGAGGAAGGCUCGUCCGCUCUGGGUUAGUCGGGUCCUAAGCUGAGGCCGACAGGCGUAGGCGAUGGAUAACAGGUUGAUAUUCCUGUACCACCUAUAAUCGUUUUAAUCGAUGGGGGGACGCAGUAGGAUAGGCGAAGCGUG
RNAcentral lists this ribosomal RNA (612 nucleotides) under Staphylococcus aureus. RNAcentral describes it as "partial 23S ribosomal RNA". It matches the Rfam family "Bacterial large subunit ribosomal RNA", at positions 881 to 1495 of the family's 2925-position model. Lineage: Bacteria; Bacillati; Bacillota; Bacilli; Caryophanales; Staphylococcaceae. The record is from RNAcentral.